AAUCCAUGCAUUGGACAUUUCUGAAUUAACUCUUUCAAUCAUUCCCAAGCUUCAUAUAGUGUUACAUCCUCUAAUUGCCGAAAGGAUGUGAUGUCAUUUCUAAGCCU
Gossypium raimondii (Peruvian cotton) is the source of this 107-nucleotide non-coding RNA. Lineage: Eukaryota; Viridiplantae; Streptophyta; Magnoliopsida; Malvales; Malvaceae. The record is from Rfam.